UUAAGUUCAGCGGGUAGUCUCACCCGAUUUGAGGUCAAGGGUUCGUGAGGUCGAGAGAGUUUCCCAGGGAAGGGAGCCACGCUCAGACGUUUGUCUCGAUGCAAGGUUGAGACGAUUAGAAGCGGGUCCCAAAAGCAACAGAGCCAGAGACCAAGACACGGAAACAUCUUAUCACAUGUCAAGGAUCGGCAAAGAGGACC
RNAcentral lists this unclassified non-coding RNA (200 nucleotides) under Lactarius sp. (in: basidiomycete fungi). RNAcentral's name for it is "Lactarius sp. (in: Russulaceae) partial internal transcribed spacer 2". Lineage: Eukaryota; Fungi; Basidiomycota; Agaricomycetes; Russulales; Russulaceae. The record is from RNAcentral.